This 468-nucleotide ribosomal RNA is filed under the name uncultured bacterium. RNAcentral's name for it is "partial 16S ribosomal RNA". It matches the Rfam family "Bacterial small subunit ribosomal RNA", at positions 28 to 507 of the family's 1533-position model. The record is from RNAcentral.
GACGAACGCUGGCGGCGUGCUUAACACAUGCAAGUCGAACGGAAAGGCCCUGCUUUUGUGGGGUGCUCGAGUGGCGAACGGGUGAGUAACACGUGAGUAACCUGCCCUUGACUUUGGGAUAACUUCAGGAAACUGGGGCUAAUACCGGAUAGGAGCUCCUGCUGCAUGGUGGGGGUUGGAAAGUUUCGGCGGUUGGGGAUGGACUCGCGGCUUAUCAGCUUGUUGGUGGGGUAGUGGCUUACCAAGGCUUUGACGGGUAGCCGGCCUGAGAGGGUGACCGGCCACAUUGGGACUGAGAUACGGCCCAGACUCCUACGGGGGGCAACGGGGGGGAAUAUUGCCCAAUGGGCGGAAGCCUGAUGCAGCAACGCCGCGUGCGGGAUGACGGCCUUCGGGUUGUAAACCGCUUUCGCCUGUGACGAAGCGUGAGUGACGGUAAUGGGUAAAGAAGCACCGGCUAACUACGUG